RNAcentral lists this ribosomal RNA (428 nucleotides) under uncultured bacterium. Its description in RNAcentral is "bacterial SSU rRNA". It matches the Rfam family "Bacterial small subunit ribosomal RNA", at positions 28 to 489 of the family's 1533-position model. The record is from RNAcentral.
GAUGAACGCUGGCGGCGUGCCUAAUACAUGCAAGUCGUGCGGAAAGGCCACUUCGGUGGUACUCGAGCGGCGGACGGCAGAGUAACGCGUAGGAACAUACCCCAAACUGAGGCAUAACUGCUCGAAAGAGCAGCUAAUACCGCAUGUGAUCUUCGGAUUAAAGCUUCGGCGGUUUGGGAAUGGCCUGCGUCCGAUUAGCUAGUUGGUGAGGUAAAUGCUCACCAAGGCUUCGAUCGGUAGCUGGUCUGAGAGGAUGAUCAGCCUGACUGGAACUGAGAACGGUCCAGACUCCUACGGGAGGCAGCAGUAGGGAAUUUUCCACAAUGGGCGAAAGCCUGAUGGAGCAACGCCGCGUGCAGGAUGAAUGCCUUCGGUUGUAAACUAGCUUUUAUUAGUUGUAAGAAUAUAGACGGUAACGUAAUUAGAAU